RNAcentral lists this ribosomal RNA (449 nucleotides) under uncultured bacterium. RNAcentral's name for it is "partial 16S ribosomal RNA". It matches the Rfam family "Bacterial small subunit ribosomal RNA", at positions 29 to 523 of the family's 1533-position model. The record is from RNAcentral.
AGCGAACGCUGGCGGCAGGCCUAACACAUGCAAGUCGAACGCAUCCUUCGGGGUGAGUGGCAGACGGGUGAGUAACGUGUGGGAACGUGCCCUUCAGUUCGGGAUAACCCAGGGAAACUUGGGCUAAUACCGGAUACGUGCGAGAGCAGAAAGAUUUAUCGCUGAAGGAUCGGCCCGCGUCUGAUUAGCUAGUUGGUGGGGUAAUGGGCCACCAAGGCGACGAUCAGUAGCUGGUCUGAGAGGAUGAUCAGCCACACUGGGACUGAGACACGGCCCAGACUCCUACGGGAGGCAGCAGUGGGGAAUAUUGGACAAUGGGCGCAAGCCUGAUCCAGCCAUGCCGCGUGAGUGAUGAAGGCCUUAGGGUUGUAAAGCUCUUUCAGUGGGGACGAUAAUGACGGUACCCGCAGAAGAAGCCCCGGCUAACUUCGUGCCAGCCGCCGCAGUAA